CAGCAGCCGCGGUAAUACAGAGGGUGCAAGCGUUAAUCGGAAUUACUGGGCGUAAAGCGUGCGUAGACGGUUACAUAAGUCGGGUGUGAAAGCCCCGGGCUCAACCUGGGAAUUGCAUUCGAGACUGCGGUAGUUAGGGUGCGGAAGAGGGAAGCGGAAUUUCCGGUGUAGCGGUGAAAUGCGUAGAUAUCGGAAGGUACACCAGUGGCGAAAGCGGCUUCCUGGUCCAGCACCGACGUUCAGGCACGAAAGCGUGGGGAGCAAACAGGAUUAGAUACCCUGGUAGUCCACGCCAUAAACGAUGAGAACUAGACGUUGAAGGGGUAAGCCUCUCCUAGUGUCGUAGCUAACGCGCUAAGUUCUCCGCCUGGGGAGUACGGCCGCAAGGUUGAAACUCAAAGAAAUUGACGG
This 411-nucleotide ribosomal RNA is filed under the name uncultured rumen bacterium. Its description in RNAcentral is "bacterial SSU rRNA". It matches the Rfam family "Bacterial small subunit ribosomal RNA", at positions 509 to 916 of the family's 1533-position model. The record is from RNAcentral.